CCCUUAGAUGUUCUGGGCCGCACGCGCGCUACACUGAUGCAUUCAACGAGUCCAACCUUGACCGAGAGGUCCGGGUAAUCUUUGAAACUGCAUCGUGAUGGGGCUAGAUUAUUGCAAUUAUUAAUCUUCAACGAGGAAUGCCUAGUAAGCGUGAUUCAUCAAAUCGCGUUGAUUACGUCCCUGCCCUUUGUACACACCGCCCGCCGCUCCUACCGAUUGAGUGUGUUGGUGAGGAGUUUGGAUUGGCCUCGGAAGGUGGUUCGCCACCGUCCGUAGCUGAGAAGUUCUCCAAACCGCCCCACUUAGAGGAAGGAGAAGUCGUAACA
This 326-nucleotide ribosomal RNA is filed under the name uncultured eukaryote. Its description in RNAcentral is "partial 18S ribosomal RNA". It matches the Rfam family "Eukaryotic small subunit ribosomal RNA", at positions 1470 to 1796 of the family's 1831-position model. The record is from RNAcentral.